Molecule: non-coding RNA, 67 nt
Organism: Nematostella vectensis (starlet sea anemone)
Lineage: Eukaryota; Metazoa; Cnidaria; Anthozoa; Actiniaria; Edwardsiidae
Source: the annotation of a RefSeq genome assembly
GGGGAUGUAGCUCAGUGGUAGAGCGUCCGCUUUGGACGGGACCGGGGUUCGAUCCCCCGCAUCUCCA